Molecule: non-coding RNA, 94 nt
Organism: Trichophaea hybrida
Lineage: Eukaryota; Fungi; Ascomycota; Pezizomycetes; Pezizales; Pyronemataceae
Source: the annotation of a GenBank genome assembly
GCGCUAAUAGCUCAGUUGGGAGAGCGUCAGACUGAAGUCAAUUAAUAUAACUCGGGGUAAUCUGAAGGUCACCCGUUCAAUCGGGUUUGGCGCA